Non-coding RNA from Mustela putorius furo (domestic ferret), 313 nucleotides. Lineage: Eukaryota; Metazoa; Chordata; Mammalia; Carnivora; Mustelidae. The record is from Rfam.
GGAUGUGUGGGCGAUCUGGUUGCAACAUCUGUCAUCCCACUGAUGGCCAGGGUUGAUUCGGCAGGUCUGGUGGGCUAGGCAGGUGUCCCUUUCCUUCCUCACCACUCCGUGUGCGUCCCUUUGGAAGCUGUGCACUGACUGGGCGAGGACAAAUUUCCCUCAUAGAAGAGAGUAUAUAAGGAGCUGUGCUCUCCUGUUAGAAACUCCAAACAAGGUCUCAGGGUCCAUUUGUAGGAGAAUAUAGAGUAGUCAAGCUUCCAAGACUGCAGACACAUCCAAAUGAGGCUCUGCCUGGGGUAGUUUGCCUUUAAAA